RNAcentral lists this long non-coding RNA (1932 nucleotides) under Manihot esculenta (cassava). RNAcentral describes it as "long non-coding RNA (MESC_LNC006304)". The record is from RNAcentral. Lineage: Eukaryota; Viridiplantae; Streptophyta; Magnoliopsida; Malpighiales; Euphorbiaceae.
CUAUCAAACCAUAUAUAUUAGAUAAUUUUUUUAAAAUUUAUUUGGCAUUGAUGUACUAAAAAAGCAAUUGCCGGAAUAAUACCAAGAAGAGGAAUAUGCGCUUUGAUUUUUUUUAAUUAAUAAUUCAAUAUAAGAUUAAGGAGAAUUAGUAAUAACAUUCAAAUAUCUUGUAGAAAAUAUGAGGUUUUUGAAUUUAAACAUUAAAAUUGAACUAAUUAGUACUUAUGAUUUAAUCCCGUGAUAAGUGUAUCUGAUGACCGUUGGAUUUUUUACCCCGGUCUAAGGGCAGGCCCAUGAAUACAGUUGAAAGCUUCUAAGUCUAAUCCAAGCGUCAGGCCCGACCCGCUCAGCUGAAGGACCGAAAUUCACCAAAAUUUCUCUAUCCGGUCUGCCCAACCUUCCGGCCCAAUAACUAGGCCCCCACUAGGCUCAGCCUUAACCCCAUCUUCCAGCCCGGUCCGGAAGAGGGAAAGUGGCCAGCCCGUCCGACUGGUAGGUCCACCCGCAAGCGUACCAUGUGAGAAUUAAAUGGCUGUUACGCAUAUAGCAGGAAUCUGAUCUUCUUGUAUGCCCAUAUCCGUAUGGCAGAGACACGUGACCCAAUGACGGGAAUUUCGUUAUACAUCACUAGCAGACAAAAGAAAAGGAAUAAAAGGAUAAACACUCUCCUCACAAAAGGAGGUUUUUGACUAAGUUUACAGAACACUUGUAAAACCUUAUUUUUCUGGAUCUCAGAUUAUAUAUCUAAAUAAAUACAAGAGAUUUCAGAUUCUAUUUCUCUAAUUUUUAAUUUUUAUUUAAAAAAAAUUAAAUUAAUUAAUAAUCAAUAAAAAAUUCCUAUUCACAUUAGUAAAAAAAAUUAUUUAACUAUAUUUUCCCCAUAAAUUUUCUUUCCUUAAUUAAUAAAUUAUUUUUAUCUAUAUGUAAAAAUAUUAAUAGAAAAUUGAUUUCUCAUAUGAAUAAAGAUCAUUACCUAUUAUAAUUAACGUAAAAUUAAUGUUAAAAUUUAAUAGAAAACUGAAAUUUAAUCAUCAUUUUAUUAUCUUUUUUACAUUUUGCAUAGUCAGUAUCCUUUUCUUUUCUUCUUUAUAUGUUAGAACACACUAUUUUAGUUGACAUAAUUUUGAUAUAAAUAAAAUAGGAAAUACAAAUUUAAUUAAUCGAUAUUUAUAAUUAUAUUAACUUGGUUAUAAUAAUAUGGAUAAUAUAGUAUAAAAUUAUAAUUUUUAUAUAUAAAAAAAAUAAAUAAGAGAGGAGGGGUGGGGUUGGGUUGGGCCAACCAAUUCUGACCUGACGUUAACAUUGAUUAGAUAAUUGAUGGAGACCUAGAAAUUAUGCUCUUAUUUGUCAUUGUUUAAUUUGUGGCCAACAAGGUAUAAUGGUGCUUUUAGUGGAGUUAUGAAAUGACAAUGUAAUUUACAUUAUUUUUAGAUACUUUUUUUUAGAAGGAGAAAAGUUCAAUAGUGAUAUAAUUAUAGAAGAUAACAUUUAUAAAUUUAAUUUAAGUGUAUUUAAAUAAAUUUUAACGUUUUUAGAUUUUAUUUUCAUAAUUUUUAAUUUUUAUUUUAAAAAAAAAUUAUAAAAGAUAUAACAAUAAUGUUCAAAAACAUAUAUUUUAUCAAAUUCAAAUCUCACUGUAUAAAUUUUUGAGGGAAAAAUAAAACUAUAUCAUAACUAGCAGUAUAAAUAUUCAUUAUUUACAUAUCAUUGGUAGUUCUUACCUUUUUCUGAUUUCCUUGUCUUGUUUGUCUCUGAAUAAAGAGAUUGUUAUGAAGACUGUAUAUCCUCUGGGAAACCAAACCAAAGCAAAGCAUUCUAACGAGAUCCUGACAUGCAAGCUUGUGUCUCUAAUCUCUUGUAUUUAUAUUUACAAACAUGCAGGAAGUGUAGGGUGAGCUGGAGGGAGAAAGAAAUAAAGAAAUAUAGUAUUAC